RNAcentral lists this ribosomal RNA (852 nucleotides) under uncultured bacterium. Its description in RNAcentral is "bacterial SSU rRNA". It matches the Rfam family "Bacterial small subunit ribosomal RNA", at positions 36 to 906 of the family's 1533-position model. The record is from RNAcentral.
CGGGCGGCGUUGCUUUACACUGCAGUCGAACGAUGAUCCCAGCUUGCUGGGGGAUUAGUGGCGAACGGGUGAGUAACACGUGAGUAACCUGCCCUUAACUCUGGGAUAAGCCUGGGAAACUGGGUCUAAUACCGGAUAUGACUCCUCAUCGCAUGGUGGGGGGUGGAAAGCUUUAUUGUGGUUUUGGAUGGACUCGCGGCCUAUCAGCUUGUUGGUGAGGUAAUGGCUCACCAAGGCGACGACGGGUAGCCGGCCUGAGAGGGUGACCGGCCACACUGGGACUGAGACACGGCCCAGACUCCUACGGGAGGCAGCAGUGGGGAAUAUUGCACAAUGGGCGAAAGCCUGAUGCAGCGACGCCGCGUGAGGGAUGACGGCCUUCGGGUUGUAAACCUCUUUCAGUAGGGAAGAAGCGAAAGUGACGGUACCUGCAGAAGAAGCGCCGGCUAACUACGUGCCAGCAGCCGCGGUAAUACGUAGGGCGCAAGCGUUAUCCGGAAUUAUUGGGCGUAAAGAGCUCGUAGGCGGUUUGUCGCGUCUGCCGUGAAAGUCCGGGGCUCAACUCCGGAUCUGCGGUGGGUACGGGCAGGCUAGAGUGAUGUAGGGGAGACUGGAAUUCCUGGUGUAGCGGUGAAAUGCGCAGAUAUCAGGAGGAACACCGAUGGCGAAGGCAGGUCUCUGGGCAUUAACUGACGCUGAGGAGCGAAAGCAUGGGGAGCGAACAGGAUUAGAUACCCUGGUAGUCCAUGCCGUAACGUUGGGCACUAGUGUGGGGGACAUUCCACGUUUUCGCGCGUAGCUAACGCAUUAAGUGCCCGCCUGAGAGUACGGCCGCAAGGCUAAAACUCAAGG